Molecule: unclassified non-coding RNA, 2386 nt
Filed under: Pomacea canaliculata
Lineage: Eukaryota; Metazoa; Mollusca; Gastropoda; Architaenioglossa; Ampullariidae
Description: uncharacterized LOC112569252, transcript variant X1
Source: RNAcentral
CCCUGUAAACGCGAAAAGUCACGUGGUACAGCUUCCCCCUUGUAAGCACGGAGGUUCGCUCCUUCCGUCUGGCAUCGUGUUGUCGUCGACAGACGACGCCCGCCAUUCGUUGCUGAUGAGCCGCAUCCGCUGCUUGUGGCGCCCUCUAGCCUUAGUGACGUGCAGGAAAUCCGUAAGUCUUAAGAUGUGUUUUUUUGAAAUAGUUUUUGUAGAGAAGGAAGUGAAUUGUUUGCCACGUGAUGAGAUAAGAUCUCAACCCACUGAGCGCGAUCUCAUCAGAUUCAAGCGCCAUCUUGGUGUCGUGGAGCAGUGAGCGCCCUCUGGUGGCAGCCACCCACAGUGUCACCCGAGUGUCACACACAGACACACACACACUCACGCUCUCAUACUCACGAUGACAAGACAGAGGCUACGUCACGUGACCUACCUGUGGCUGCUGGCCAGGCUGCUCUGCGUUCAGUGUGACGUCACGACAGGUUACCUGGAGACACGACUGGUUGACCAAGUCACCUGCACUUAUCACAAUGAGUCGCUGAUUGUUCUGAAGCUGCAAGACACAGCGACUGGCACCACGGUCUGGUACAACACACACUCACACGCCUGCGGCAGCAACUUCUCUUUCUCCGGGUGUUCACCUUCGUCUGACUACGUCAGUGUCAAGGCCGUCAUCACUGACCUCCAGUCCCACCCACGAGGUACCCGAGUCCUGACAUGUCAGGCUGUGCUUCUGCAAGGCCAGGGUGUCGUGACUAAACACUUGGGCAGUGUCACAGUCACACGACAGGAUGCAACAUCCACUGGGCCUGACACCACCCUGACAUCCGGUACCCAGACUCUGACCACGGGUAGCGCCGUCACUGCAGGUCCUGUUGAUGAGACAAAUACAUCUGGCACAUCAGGCAGGUCCAGCAGCGCUGAUCAAAGAUUCUCUGACACGCCUGACACACCUGACACACCAGGUGAUACUACUGGUAGUCAAGGACAACAUGACACACCUGACACACGUGACACACCAGGUGAUGCUACUGGUAGUCAAGGACAACACGACACGCCUGACACGUCACCACUGACGGUGUGGAUGCUGGGUGCGCUGAGUGCGGGGCUGGUGCUGCUGGUCGCCCUUGCUGCGCUGCUGGCUGUUAAACUGAAACGAGAGAAGCGGAACUCUGAGACCCGGAUGUACCUCAUACCCGAGUCGCUGCCCCUGCAUAACUCCCGCCUGCCUGUGACCAGGAACAGUUACCUCCCCGCUGUUUGCGCCUUCUCUCCUCCCCAUGUCCGCCAAACACCUUCCGUCCCCCCAAUAUCGUCCCGCCAACGCCACCUGCGGCACCCAGACGUCUGUCCCCUGCGACCACGCGAGGUCUACCUCACCCCGAGCAUCCCGAAAUUCUUGCCCCCUGACCUCUGACCAUCGUGUUCAGUCCCACAACCCCUACACUGAGCGCGGGCUCACAGAGGGCGGACAGGGGCGCUGAGUCGCCAACAGAUCCAGCAUCCCUGACGACAGCAGCAGCGGCAUCCACGACACCGACCUCUACAACUCUGUGGCUGACUUCACGGAUGAGUCGGGUGGGAGUGUCGAUUCUGUGUCCACUUAGAGCUUUAUCUGAACACAGUCUACCUGUCCUCACCUGUCACCAGAACUUGUUCUCCACUGACUGAGCUGCUCACAAGAUGAACUGUCCACAGGCCGACAGUGUGUCCAGGUGUGACUGCAGUGCUGGAGGUGUGCUAGCAGGAUGAAGACAGACAGACAGACAGACAGACAGACAGACAGACAGACAGACAGACAGACAGACAGACAGACAGACAGACAGACAGACAGCCCACCUGACCAUCCUACUCUUACCAUGUGGAGGUUUCAGCAGUGGCAGACCUGUCUUAUGUUCAUCUUGUGUUCCUGUGAUGUUGACUUGUGCCAGUGAGCAUCGCCUCCUAAGUGACAACGAAAAAUAAACAAAGGAAUAAACAGAUGGUGGAGGAACAAAGGAAGAGAGAGAGAGGAAAAAAAGUACAAGGAACAGUCUUUAGUAACAUUCACGCGCGCACACAUAUGCACGGACACAGACAGAUACGCACACACGCACACAUAGAGACGCACGCACACACACGCACGCGCGCACACACACACACACACACACACACACACACACACACACACGCGCACACACACACACACACACACACACACACACACACUGUAACACCAUUGUGUAGGAAUAUUCGGGAUGCAGUUCGUGAUGAAGAGAGAGAGAGAAAAUAUGUUCAUCGCAAUUACGUUAUGAUUUGUCUAUGAAUUGUUAAAAUAAACUAAUAUUGCAAAUAGUGUGUUAGAUGUCUGUGUGUGUAUGCAUACCCUUGUGAGCAAAACAAAAAUUUCUGU